GGGCUAGGCGGGCAGGCUUACACAUGCAAGUCGAGGGGUAGAGGUUGCUUGCAACCUUGAGACCGGCGCACGGGUGCGUAACGCGUAUGCAACCUACCUUUUACAGAGGGAUAGCCCAGAGAAAUUUGGAUUAAUACCUCAUAGUAUAUAACAUUCGCAUGUUUGUUAUAUUAAAGUUCCAACGGUAAAAGAUGGGCAUGCGUCCUAUUAGCUAGAUGGUAAGGUAACGGCUUACCAUGGCCACGAUAGGUAGGGGUCCUGAGAGGGAGAUCCCCCACACUGGUACUGAGACACGGACCAGACUCCUACGGGAGGCAGCAGUGAGGAAUAUUGGACAAUGGGCGCAAGCCUGAUCCAGCCAUGCCGCGUGCAGGAAGAAGCAUCUAUGGUGUGUAAACUGCUUUUGUACGGGAAGAAACACUCCUUCGUGAAGGAGCUUGACGGUACCGUAAGAAUAAGGAUCGGCUAACUCCGUGCCAGCAGCCGCGGUAAUACGGAGGAUCCAAGCGUUAUCCGGAAUCAUUGGGUUUAAAGGGUCCGUAGGCGGUUUGGUAAGUCAGUGGUGAAAGCCCGCAGCUCAACUGUGGAACGGCCAUUGAUACUGCCAGACUUGAAUUACAAGGAAGUAACUAGAAUAUGUAGUGUAGCGGUGAAAUGCUUAGAUAUUACAUGGAAUACCAAUUGCGAAGGCAGGUUACUACUUGUGGAUUGACGCUGAUGGACGAAAGCGUGGGGAGCGAACAGGAUUAGAUACCCUGGUAGUCCACGCCGUAAACGAUGGAUACUAGCUGUUGGGGGCAACUUCAGUGGCUAAGCGAAAGUGAUAAGUAUCCCACCUGGGGAGUACGUUCGCAAGAAUGAAACUCAAAUGAAUUGACGGAAGGGCGAAUUCUGCA
Molecule: ribosomal RNA, 896 nt
Filed under: uncultured Flavobacterium sp.
Lineage: Bacteria; Pseudomonadati; Bacteroidota; Flavobacteriia; Flavobacteriales; Flavobacteriaceae
Description: bacterial SSU rRNA
Rfam family: Bacterial small subunit ribosomal RNA
Source: RNAcentral